CCGCCCACGACUCGGCGAGAAGUCCAUUGAACCUUAUCAUUUAGAGGAAGGAGAAGUCGUAACAAGGUUUCCGUAGGUGAACCUGCGGAAGGAUCAUUG
RNAcentral lists this ribosomal RNA (99 nucleotides) under Maxillaria kellyana. RNAcentral describes it as "partial 18S ribosomal RNA". It matches the Rfam family "Eukaryotic small subunit ribosomal RNA", at positions 1733 to 1831 of the family's 1831-position model. The record is from RNAcentral. Lineage: Eukaryota; Viridiplantae; Streptophyta; Magnoliopsida; Asparagales; Orchidaceae.